Molecule: ribosomal RNA, 252 nt
Filed under: uncultured bacterium
Lineage: Bacteria
Description: partial 16S ribosomal RNA
Rfam family: Bacterial small subunit ribosomal RNA
Source: RNAcentral
UACGGAGGACGCGAGCGUUAUCCGGAUUUAUUGGGUUUAAAGGGUGCGUAGGCGGGAUGCCAAGUCAGCGGUAAAAAUGCGGUGCUCAACGCCGUCGAGCCGUUGAAACUGGCGUUCUUGAGUGGGCGAGAAGUAUGCGGAAUGCGUGGUGUAGCGGUGAAAUGCAUAGAUAUCACGCAGAACUCCGAUUGCGAAGGCAGCAUACCGGCGCCCUACUGACGCUGAGGCACGAAAGCGUGGGUAUCGGACAGG